Molecule: ribosomal RNA, 325 nt
Filed under: uncultured eukaryote
Lineage: Eukaryota
Description: partial 18S ribosomal RNA
Rfam family: Eukaryotic small subunit ribosomal RNA
Source: RNAcentral
CCCUUAGAUGUUCUGGGCCGCACGCGCGCAACACUGAUGCAUUCAACGAGCCUAUCCUUGACCGACAGGUCCGGGUAAUCUUUGAAUCUGCAUCGUGACGGGGAUAGAUUAUUGCAAUUAUUAAUCUUCAACGAGGAAUGCCUAGUAGGCGCAAGUCAUCAGCUUGCGUCGAUUACGUCCCUGCCCUUUGUACACACCGCCCGUCGCUCCUACCGAUUGGGUGUGCUGGUGAAAUGUUCGGAUCGGCCGUUUGUCGCGGUUUCCGCGUCAUGUGGCUGAGAAGUUCAUUAAACCCUCCCACCUAGAGGAAGGAGAAGUCGUAACA